This 247-nucleotide unclassified non-coding RNA is filed under the name Hevea brasiliensis (rubber tree). Lineage: Eukaryota; Viridiplantae; Streptophyta; Magnoliopsida; Malpighiales; Euphorbiaceae. The record is from RNAcentral.
UUUUUUUUUUUUUUUUUCACAUUCAUCUUGUGUGUAUCUGGGUAUGUUGUUGUACCGUACAUGCUCAACAUUCACUUCCAUACAACAUACGACAUAUGUUGUAUGGUUGGCCUGACAACAUACUUUUCACUUUUUUAGGGAUCUCAUGGUUGCAAAGCACACUUAUUGCACUCUUUCAUUUCAUUCAUCAUGUUUUGUGUUUUGAUCCUGUAUAUUACACCGUUAUUAUCUGUUCUUUUAGAUGAUG